GACGAACGCUGGCGGCGUGCCUAAUACAUGCAAGUAGAACGCUGAAGGAGGAGCUUGCUUCUCUGGAUGAGUUGCGAACGGGUGAGUAACGCGUAGGUAACCUGCCUGGUAGCGGGGGAUAACUAUUGGAAACGAUAGCUAAUACCGCAUAAUAGUAGAUGUUGCAUGACAUUUGCUUAAAAGGUGCAAUUUCAUCACUACCAGAUGGACCUGCGUUGUAUUAGCUAGUUGGUGGGGUAACGGCUCACCAAGGCGACGAUACAUAGCCGACCUGGGAGGGUGAUCGGCCACACUGGGACUGAGACACGGCCCAGACCCCUACGGGAGGCAGCAGUAGGGAAUCUUCGGCAAUGGACGGAAGUCUGACCGAGCAACGCCGCGUGAGGGAAGAAGGGUUUCGGAUCGUAAAGCUCUGUUGUAAGAGAAGAACGAGUGUGAGAGUGGAAAGUUCACACUGUGACGGUAUCUUAACAGAAAGGGACGGCUAACUACGUG
RNAcentral lists this ribosomal RNA (495 nucleotides) under uncultured bacterium. RNAcentral's name for it is "partial 16S ribosomal RNA". It matches the Rfam family "Bacterial small subunit ribosomal RNA", at positions 28 to 507 of the family's 1533-position model. The record is from RNAcentral.